GGACUCCAGCCCUGCCCCAGGCUCCUGUGUGAGAGCUCCCUUGCAAGGCAGCUCUGAGGGCUGUGGACGGCCACUCGGUGGAAGUGUCGCCACCCACGCCUUUCUGGUUUGACUGGAAAACAAGGCCCAUCCCACCUAUCAGGAUGCCUGAGAGAAGGAUCUGGCCGGAUUCUGCAGGCCGCCAGGCUCCCAGGCUGAGCCUUCCACCUGCUCAGGCGAGAGUGGGGGUGGGGCAGGUAUCUCCAGGUGACAAGCAGGCCUCCCUCAGGGGAGGGAGAGAGAGGUCACCUCGGCCUCUCACAGGCAUCUCAGCUAAGCAGGUGCAGCCUGGGCUGAUGGCAGGGUGGACAAGGAUGGGCUUCCGAGAGUCUGGCCUUGCUUGCCCCCAGUGACGGGAAGCUCAGCCCCUCCACUGUCGUCAUGAAGCUUCCUCUUGGAACCUGGGCUCGGGCUGUAGUCUGGGCUUCCUGGCCCAUGACAUCUCAGAGUGUGGGAACAGGGUGGGCCUCAGUCCCGCCCAUGAGUUGGGCGUCAGAUGGGAUCCCCCUGGCCUCCUCAUCGCUGCCCCCAUCCCCGCUGUCACACUUCCCACUGGGUCCCCACGGCCUUCCUGCCUCUGGCCCUUUAAGGCCCAGGCAGGAAGCCCCUCCCCAUUUAGGGCAAUAAAUGGACACGUAAAAUGGC
Homo sapiens (human) is the source of this 684-nucleotide long non-coding RNA. The record is from Ensembl. Lineage: Eukaryota; Metazoa; Chordata; Mammalia; Primates; Hominidae.